This 497-nucleotide ribosomal RNA is filed under the name Bacillus sp. BacB10. RNAcentral describes it as "bacterial SSU rRNA". It matches the Rfam family "Bacterial small subunit ribosomal RNA", at positions 8 to 484 of the family's 1533-position model. The record is from RNAcentral. Lineage: Bacteria; Bacillati; Bacillota; Bacilli; Caryophanales; Bacillaceae.
AGAGUUUGAUCCUGGCUCAGGACGAACGCUGGCGGCGUGCCUAAUACAUGCAAGUCGAGCGGAGUUUUGAAAAGCUUGCUUUUCAAAACUUAGCGGCGGACGGGUGAGUAACACGUGGGCAACCUGCCCUUGAGACGGGGAUAACUCCGGGAAACCGGAGCUAAUACCGGAUAACACAUAUCUUCGCAUGAGGAUAUGUUAGAAGGUGGCUUUUAGCUACCACUCAAGGAUGGGCCCGCGGCGCAUUAGCUAGUUGGUGAGGUAACGGCUCACCAAGGCGACGAUGCGUAGCCGACCUGAGAGGGUGAUCGGCCACACUGGGACUGAGACACGGCCCAGACUCCUACGGGAGGCAGCAGUAGGGAAUCUUCCGCAAUGGACGAAAGUCUGACGGAGCAACGCCGCGUGAGUGAUGAAGGUUUUCGGAUCGUAAAGCUCUGUUGUUAGGGAAGAACAAGUACCUGUUAAAUAAGCAGGUACCUUGACGGUACCUAACC